RNAcentral lists this transfer RNA (65 nucleotides) under Potamilus alatus. RNAcentral describes it as "tRNA-Arg". The record is from RNAcentral. Lineage: Eukaryota; Metazoa; Mollusca; Bivalvia; Unionida; Unionidae.
AAGAAGAAAGCUAAGCGAGCAAUACGGUUUCGGCCCGUAGUAAGAAUUUAUAAAUUCUCUCCUUU